RNAcentral lists this ribosomal RNA (1386 nucleotides) under Triticum aestivum (bread wheat). RNAcentral describes it as "partial small subunit ribosomal RNA". Lineage: Eukaryota; Viridiplantae; Streptophyta; Magnoliopsida; Poales; Poaceae. The record is from RNAcentral.
AUGACACUCAUAGCUGCCGUCAUCACAAAAGUUGCACAAUGGUUUGCCGCUGCACAUGAGUCUCUGACGCCACCCAUUGCUAUAUGUCCCGUCCAUCUACUCGUCGUGGCUCUUCUGAUCGCCACGGCUACCGCCUACCUUGCACUUGGUCCAAAAACCGUAUACCUUGUUGACUACGCUUGCUUCCGGCCAAGAUCCAACUUCAGAUACACAAAGGCAACCUUCCUCGAGCAUGCACAUCUCUCGCCUUUGCUUGAUGAUUCUAGCACCAACUUCAUAGCUACUAUUCUUGAGCGCUCAAACAUGAGCGAUCAAACAUACGUGCCCCCUGCGCUUGGCUAUAUUGAGCCAUACUGCGGGCUUGAUGAAGCACGUGCCGAAGCAGAGUUGAUUGUCUUCCCAGCGAUCAAUGACCUUUUGGCCAAGACAGGCAUCAACCGCGAUGCGAUUGGUGUUCUUAUCACCAACUGCAGUUUAUUUUGCUCGGUACCAUCCAUCAGUGAUAUGAUUGUGAACCGUUACAAAUUGCGAGGUGAUCUCCACAUUGUUGACCUCUCAGGGAUGGCAUGCUCUGCAUCAUUGACCGCGGUGGGGCUCGCGAGCAACAUGCUACAGGUCAUGCCUUGGGGUUCACACGUGUUGGUGGUGUCAACGGAGAUCAUAGGGCCAUCGUAUUAUGCAGGAAAUAAUCGUUCCAUGUUGUUGGCUAAUAUCUUGCUUCGUAUGAGCGGUGCUGCCAAGCUUUUGUCUACUUCUAGGUCUAAGGCUAGGUUUCAGCUUCGGCAUCUCACACGAACAAUCACAGCAUCAAACAAUAAUGCCUAUCGGUGUGUGUAUCAGGAAGAAGAUGAGAAAGGAAACAUUGGGAUUGCUCUCUCUAGAGACCUCAUGAAUGUCGCUGAAGAUGCACUCAAGGACAAUAUCAUGGCAACUGGGCCUCUCGUCUUACCGGCAUCACAGCUCCUCAAGUUUUUAUUUUUCUACAUGGCCAAAAAGAUGCUCUUCGGGUGGAAGGUUGGACCAUACAUCCCCAACUUUUCUCUUGCAUUUGAGCAUUUUUGCAUCCACGCUGGUGGACCAGCGGUUAUCACCUCAGUGCAACAUGGACUCAAUCUAUCAAACAAGCAUGUUGAACCAUCGCGGAUGACGUUUCAUCAAUUUGGAAACCAAAUGAGCGCAUCCGUGUGGUAUGAGUUGGCAUACAUCGAGGCUAAAGGCCAGAUGAAGAAAGGCAACAGGGUGUUGAUGAUUGGAUUUGGUGCAGGAUACAAGUGCAACACAGCUGGGUGGGUGUGUAUACAACCAUCUUUCGAUGUGGAUGGACCCUGGGCUAACUGCGUGGAUCGUUACUCAGCAAUGUCUCCAACAAAUGCUAAACAAACAUAA